Molecule: ribosomal RNA, 445 nt
Filed under: uncultured bacterium
Lineage: Bacteria
Description: partial 16S ribosomal RNA
Rfam family: Bacterial small subunit ribosomal RNA
Source: RNAcentral
GUAGGGAAUAUUGGGCAAUGGAUGCAAGUCUGACCCAGCCAUCCCGCGUGCCGGAAGAAGGCCCUCAGGGUUGUAAACGGCUUUUGACGGUGAAGAAUCGACAGGAUGCGUCCUGUUUUGACGGUAGCCGUUGAAUCAGCACCGGCUAACUCCGUGCCAGCAGCCGCGGUAAUACGGAGGGUGCGAGCGUUGUCCGGAUUUAUUGGGUUUAAAGGGUGCGUAGGCUGGAAGGUCAGUCAGCGGUGAAAAGCUGUCGCUUAACGAUAGUCUUGCCGCAGAUACUUCCUUUCUUGGAUGAGGAGGAGGCCACUGGAACGGAUGGUGUAGCGGUGAAAUGCAUAGAUAUCAUCCAGAACACCGAUUGCGAAGGCAGGUGGCUGUACCUUAAUCGACGCUGAUGCACGAAAGCAUGGGGAGCAAACAGGAUUAGAAACCCGUGUAGUCC